Molecule: transfer RNA, 82 nt
Filed under: Naegleria gruberi
Lineage: Eukaryota; Heterolobosea; Eutetramitea; Acrasida; Naegleriidae
Description: tRNA-Leu
Rfam family: tRNA
About the family: Transfer RNA (tRNA) molecules are approximately 80 nucleotides in length. Their secondary structure includes four short double-helical elements and three loops (D, anti-codon, and T loops).
Source: RNAcentral
AAGAGUAUGGUGGAAUUGGUAGACACGGUAGAUUUAGGAUCUAUUAACGAAAGUUGUGCAGGUUCAAGUCCUGUUACUCUUA